This is a long non-coding RNA of Lineus longissimus, 7622 nucleotides long. RefSeq lists it as uncharacterized. The transcript is spliced from 7 exons. The record is from RefSeq and is a predicted model, not a curated record. NCBI's taxonomy places the organism in Eukaryota, Metazoa, Nemertea, Pilidiophora, Heteronemertea, Lineidae.
GUAAGUUGACAAGUAGGUGAACGCUUGUAUUUCACCAUUUUUAUGCUGCGAUUUGUGACUUUUUGUAAACUGUCCUCCAUGUUGGAUGACGUCAGACUUAUGUAUUGUUUUGAUGAGUGAGCGGUGAACUUUCAGAUUGCAACUUUUCAAAGUCGUUUAAUUCAGGAUUUGAUAAUCAUGCCUUCUGGAGAAGAUAUCUGCUAGUUGUGGUCGUUGGUCGAUUGGAUAUUCUGUCAUUUUCGAGAUUUUGUCUGCUGCUGCUGCUGUUGAUCGAUCGAUUGUCGAAUAGUUCUAAUCCAAAAAACAUUCCUCUUCCAACAUCCUGUCCCCUCCGGCGAAGUAUCCUCAGUGGGCUGACUGUGUUCUCGACCGUCGGUGCAAAGAUGAUGCCAUCCGAUCGCUCACGCACAACAUUGUUGUAAUCCUCAUUACUGAAGUGAAACGAGACCAGCUACCAUCGGUUUUCUCUGGAGGCAUUGUCCUGCUGUAGGGCGAGUGCAUCCUGUCCCCUCCGGCGAAGUAUCCUCAGUGGGCUGACUGUGUUCUCGACCGUCGGUGCAAAGAUGAUGCCAUCCGAUCGCUCACGCACAACAUUGUUGUAAUCCUCAUUACUGAAGUGAAACGAGACCAGCUACCAUCGGUUUUCUCUGGAGGCAUUGUCCUGCUGUAGGGCGAGUGCAUCCUGUCCCCUCCGGCGAAGUAUCCUCAGUGGGCUGACUGUGUUCUCGACCGUCGGUGCAAAGAUGAUGCCAUCCGAUCGCUCACGCACAACAUUGUUGUAAUCCUCAUUACUGAAGUGAAACGAGACCAGCUACCAUCAGUUUUCUCUGGAGGCAUUGUCCUGCUGUAGGGCGAGUGCAAGAUGUUCUACUGCGCACUCCUUGACGGCCAAUCAUCGGUUAGUGAGUUGGAGGCGCGCAGGCGGAAGACUCCGCUAACAAUUGGUGCGGAGAAGAGUUUACGAAAACGGAUGCCUUGCGGAGCGCCAUUUUAUGCUUUCGAUAGAUAAAGAAUCUGCUUUAUCUAUCCAAAAUUUACUUAAAAUUUGUUUUGAGAGGCUACCCAGUGAGUUUUUCGCAGCGCUGUUUAGCUUGAAGCGCCUGGUGAAGAAUCGUAGCCAGUCGCCCCCAAGUCUUCUCCGGCUCGCUCGAUUCUCCAUCAGGAAUCGACUGCAGCAGUUGCAUCCUGCUGAUCAGCUGAUUAACACCAGCGCUGCGGAACAGCUGGGGUUGCCUCUCUAUCUCAGAUAUUUUUUACCACAUAAGUUGAUUCCGGCCUCGGCCCUUUGAAGUAGUUAGUUUGAAAUUAUUAGUCUCCGCCAUCGGCUGAGACUUUUGUAUUAGGGUAUUAUUCUCUUCAAGAAAUUAUUCCAGCAAACUCUCGUCCCCAGGUGAAAGCUUUAUAUGUACAUGAACACGGUAAUGCAUUGCAAAACAUCGAUAAAACGAGAGUGUCCAUGAACUAAGAAGUCAAUCUGGGUUACAGCCGCGAAAGUGCUAUGGGCAUGCAUAGCGCAAUACAUGUAAAUUUUUAACCAAUAAACCUCGCCAUACCGGCACGAUGACUGGUGCCCCGCGUUAUGUGUAUUACAUAUUGGCUGCACAUAUGGAGGAACGUAAUGGAUAAAGACCAGGGACUAGUCUCCACCAUCGAAGCAUUUUCUAUAAUACCGGUAAAUAAAAUAUGAUAUAUGGCGCCAGUUAGGGUAGAACACAACGACAAAGCAACACCGAUAUCCAAUCCAACGCAACUUUAAUGUGAGACAAAAUAAGCACACGACCAACCAGUCGUCGGGCUGAACUUAGAGUGGCCUAACAUACAUACAUGUACAUGCAUACACAAAUAGUAUUAGGGCAAUUACAACAAUACAUAAAAGGGUGUUAUUAACAACAAUACCACAAUUACUGGCGCAACCUCUUUUUCUUUUAGAAAGAUGAUAGUGAGAGUCCAAUAUAUUCACGAAUGAUCAUGAGAAUGAGGUUUGAAUUAGAAAUGGCCGUAAAACUGCGUUUGCUUUCGAUCACGGCAGGAGCGUCGCAGAGGUUGAGGGUCAGUGGACGCGGAUAUGCAUGGUUCACUUUGGGUCGAAGGCUCGGCUAUUUCCAGAGGAAUCUCGGGAACGGGCGGUGGCGGUGGCGUCUGUAUUGGCUCUGGGAGUUCGGAUAAGGCACGUUCCGUCGCAGGUACGCACACGGUCACGUCGGAGUCGUCGUCGUCAUCGUCAUCUGUCGAGUACUUAUAGUUUUUAGUGUCUAGAACUACCUGGCUUGGUACCCUAUAACACUCAGUUUUCUUGACCCGGUAAGAUGCAUUUCGCAGUUGAGAACCAACAAGCUUUCUGAUAUUGCACCAAUUGUUGUCUAGUGACGUCAAGAUGUAACGAUCACGAGAUGCAGACUUGUUACGAUCGGCGUAGAGGUACACGAUGUCGCCGACUUCCCAAUCCUGUAUUGAACCAGUGUCGGAGGUGCGCGUGUUCGGAGCUUUUGACUUUUCGCUAUGUGGGUGAUUGUCUUUGCGCUUACUGUGUUGAUUUCGGAUCAAAGACUCGUCAGACAUAUUCAGCUGUCUGUUCGUGAACUGGUCACGUUGUAGCAUCAUUUCACGUGCGGAGAGGCCUCUUGAGCGGACGCGAGCAUUUAGGGUUGCAGAGGCAAUGGCUAGGGUCUUCGCGGAGAUGCACCCACCUGUGGGGUCAGUUUUUAGCAACUCCAACUCUAAUUCCUGGACAGCUUUUUCGGCUACCGGGUUUUUGUUGACGUUCUUUACUCUACCAACUUCGAUCGCGAUUUUGAGUUCUGAUAGCUGUUUGUCGCUGACUAAAGCUUUGAAGCCUGGCGCCGGGUCAACGCGAAUUACAGCGUUAGGACCAUCUAAGGGUCUAAUAUCAACACAUAGGCGGAUGAGACCAUCGCGGAGUGAUUCAUGGCGCUCAUCUUCGAUAAGGGUUGACGUAGUGUAUGACGUCACACACUCUCUGAGGACAAGGAUGAACUGCCUGUUGCACCUGAUCACAUCUGCAGCGAAUGAUACACCGACGGUGUCUGGCGGAUCACAAGUACUUUGUUCCGCAAACAAAUGUGGGGUUUUCAAAAGCGAUGCGCAUUUGUGACAAGACUGAGCGACCUUUUCAAUGGACUUGUCGAGAUCCAAGGCGAAGAAGUAGCGGUGGGUAACCGACUUCAACUGAUUGGUUGACGGAUGGUCAAGCCUAACAUGGAGAGCUGUCAGUAAGCCAUCUAGUACCUGACGGGGAACGACUAUUCGUUCACGCGUUGGGAUGAGUGGUUCGUUCUGGGGUACAACCAAAAGACCGUCUUUUGCAAUCGUCGCAGCGUUGAGGUAACGUUUCACGUCCUUACUGUUAGUUACCUUUUUGGAAGGGCGUGUACCUUGCUUCAGGUGCGCAUGUGUGCGUCUUAAAUCUGCGCACUCAGACUGGAUCGAUAGCCAUGUCGACCUGCUGGUAAACGGGAGCUUGUGAAUGCCGGACACAAUGUCGGAUACGUUUACAGGUACGCGUCGAACGACUGAGUCCUCGGUUUGUUUUACGAAACUGCAGAUUUGGCAACCUUGCUCAUCACAUGGUGGGGCAUUGCGGCUUGCAAAAUCCGACUGCAGUAUGGAAGAGCCCGAUACAUGGCGUAUAGAUACCUGGUAUCUACUCGCUGUUGACAGGAAUGUGGUGACUCUAGGACUAGCAGAAAACUCACCGCGGCAGAGUUUCUCAAAUGCUUGUAGCAUGGUUUACUGUCUGUCAAGACACAAGUGUUUUCUGUGGCUUGGAUUAUAUAAGGACUAAAAUGUUUGACAGCUGCUGCGAUUGACAAAGCUUCGACCUCGCACGGUAGCCAAGUAGCUUGUCUGUCUCGUAGUUUUGCGCUAAAGAAACCGGCUAGGUGUACCUUGUCUGACUGAGUGACGUAGAGUGUAGCGCCUAGACCAGGUUUUCUAAAUGCGCCGUCUGUUACGAUCCACAGAGUGUCACUUGGACGAGGUAGCGUGAUAAUGCGAUUUGUUCCAAGUGUUUUCUCAGCGCUUUUGAAGGCUUCACACAGUUCGUCAGACCAAACAAUUUUCUCUUUGGACUCGCGACCGGCGGUAGCUUGGUCUAACAGAGUGAGUACAUCGGAACAUCUCGGGAUAACGCGGGCAAGUACCUUAUAGGCGCCAAUGAAAGACCUUAAGUCCUUCACUUUCUCUGGGAGAUUGCAAUUCGAGAGGGUUGCGAUGCGAUGGGGGCUAGCUUGGAGGGUACCCAGAGACCAGAUCCAUCCAAGGAUGGUUGUACUCUUAGGAGCGAUAAUCGUUUUCGGGGCUGAAAGUGCGAGACGAUUGAUAUGCAGGACGUGUAGGAACUUCUUGAAGUUAAGGAGGAGCUCCUCUGGGGUGUCUCCACCGAUGUAGAGGUCAUCGGCUAUUUUAGCUACGAUGCCUUCUUGAAUGAGGUGUCCUACAACGCGAGACAUUAGUUCCUCAAGUGCUGUUUCAGAGCCGGGCAUGCCCAUCGCCGAUCGAGUGUAGACACGAACGCCGCGGAAUGGGGUACAAACACCACAGUAUUUCAUAGACUCUUGGGAGAGGGGAAUCUGAUAAAACGCGCUGGUGAGAUCUGUAGUGAUUACGUACUUCCACUUUGCGAUCUGGCGCAAGGUUGAGUCCACGUCGGGCAUUAGGGAGGGCUGGGGUUUGCUGUAGCGUCCCACGUCAGUAAAAGCGGUGACGAGCCGAAAUCCGCCUUUGGAUUUCUUUACCAAGAACGAUGGGUUUAGAUAUUCCACGUUCACGCCUACGUCUUCAGGGCGUUUGAAUACGCCUUGGUGUUCUAGGGUGUCGAACUUCUCUUGAAGCUCGAGUAAUUGGUUACGCGCGUACUGAGGGAGGCGACCCUUUCUCUGUGGGGGCUGUACCGGGCCCAUGUUAACCUUAGCCUCGAACGGACCGGAAGCUCCGUUGUAACCUUUGAAGUUUGGGUCGAAUACGCUGUCAUAUUCGUCUAGGGUCGAGCGGAAUUUGGUGGCUAUGUCGGGGGGUAGGAUGUUAUCAGGGUCAAGACUCACUGUAGCGGAGUGUUUUGAAGAGUCAGACUUAGCCCGUAUCAGGGGUGUCUUUGUGCAUCGCGUCGGCGCAGGAUCUGUUUCCGGCACGAAGACGGGGCAAAUCUGGCAUAUAUGUUCGUUGCGUUUUAGGACAACGGGUUCGCUAGUAGUGUUAGGGAUGCGGAUUUUUCCUGCGAUACUUGGUAUCACGGCUGGACUAGGCCAAGUUUCUGUUGCGAGUCUGGCGUCUACCUUGGGUUCCAGAGCGAAUUCCGAAUCGGGGGGAAUGUCGACCGGGGUGUCUAUUUCAAGGAAGUCACCGGGCCAAAUCGUGACAGAUUGGUCUGGAGCGCGGAUUACGCAUGAGCGAAUUGCAUGACGACCAGAUGGUUCGGGUAGUGAGCCGUAGAUGUACUUGGAGCCGACGCCUAGUCGGACCUCGCGUUUUGCAGGUCGGACGGAAACGUCAUUAUGUUCCAUGAACGGGGUACCUCCAAGGAUAUCUACAUCAAGGUUUUCAAUGACAAGACCUUCAAAAAAUAAUGGUUGAUCGUCUCUGGUGAAUGUCAGCCUAGUUUCCCCAAUGACUUUCAAAGGGGAUGACCCGUCAGCUUGGUGGGCAGACUGUGAGCUUUUACGGAUGUCUACGCCAAGUCUUUUAGAAGAUGGCAAGCUGAUGAGGUUCCCUGUUGCGCCAGUAUCAAUAGUGAUGCGGGCGCCAUGGUGUUCAUAGAAACAGUUUAUGUAGGGUGACUGACGCACCUGGAUUCUUUGGGCUGAUGGGUUAAAGUCACAGCUACUCGGACCUUGAAUGUCACUACUGCAAUCAAAACUGGACACCUGAGGUUCCUGAGUAGUUGUGUCAUAAUCGGCAUUGUCAUUGUCAAGGAUACUUAGUAUCUGUCUUGCUCUUACCAUGUAGCGGCGAUCCUUUUCGGGGAGAAACUUGCACUCGCUUAGGAAGUGUCCCUGAUCACUGCGACCCGCCUGUUUGCAAAGAGGACAAGACUUAUCCCCUCUGCCGUCGAACUUUCUGCCUGAUCUCCCUUGAGGGCGAAACGAAUUGGUUUUAGGAACGGAUUGGUGUGAUGCUGCGGCACGCAUCACUUUAGCACUUUCGUUCGUACGUAUUUCGUCCAGUAGAGAAUCGAGGGCUUGGGAGAUCUCCGGUUUUAACGAUGAUAGGGUCCUCGAUCUUAGCUCGGUCCCGUAACGUUGUUUAACGAGUUUGGGUAACUCCGGGUUGAUGAGUCUGAGCCACGUAAGUACUACCAUAUUCUCGAGAGAAGGUGAGAGCUCUUCAUCUUCGGUCAUGACAGACCUGUGGUGAGAUAAGCCGUUCGCUUUUAGUAGAUUGUCCUCGACGAAGGCCGCGAGCCGUUGGUAUAGGUCCUCUGGUCUUUCGUCAGGCCCUAGUUGAAAGUCGGCCAGAUCAAGGAAAUGGCCACCCGUUGUCUGGAAUCCAAAGUGUAAUCGGAUAGUUUGCCAAAUGAGAUCGGUGGAUGUGGAGUUCUUCACUAUAGUAUUCCGGGAAAUAAUUGGACAGAAGUUCGCUAUUUGACCUAACAUUAGUUCUAACAUGGACACCUUUUGUUGGGCAGUCCACCUGGAACCUUCAGGUACGGUUGCUGGGUCAUCCUUGAACCCGCGAACCGGUUCAGUCUUGGUUUUCUUGCCCCAAGUCAUACCAUCCACCAGAAAUUGGGCAAAGUUUGCAUCAAGGGAUAGGGUGUACACUAAGUUCUGUUUCCAGUUCUCGAACGAACUUAUCGUCUCGUUUUUGGUCAAGCACCACUGUUUCGGCGCGCGUUGCAUGAUGUAAUUGGAAAUUCGGAUCACUUGAUAUGUACGAAUCCGGUGAAGAUACGGUGCACGUUAGCACUGUGCCGUGUUUUGCGAUUGUCCUACCGCCGUUAGAGUAUCGUUCACUCGUAGGCACGGUUUUUGGGUUCGAAGGAACCGCUGCCACCACGCCAGUUAGGGUAGAACACAACGACAAAGCAACACCGAUAUCCAAUCCAACGCAACUUUAAUGUGAGACAAAAUAAGCACACGACCAACCAGUCGUCGGGCUGAACUUAGAGUGGCCUAACAUACAUACAUGUACAUGCAUACACAAAUAGUAUUAGGGCAAUUACAACAAUACAUAAAAGGGUGUUAUUAACAACAAUACCACAAUUACUGGCGUGGAGUUUAUGGGCUAUGAAAUAAGAAAAACGGCAGUGAAUUAAAGCAGCUGAGUUUCAAGAAUGUGUUCUUCCCUUCUGGACACUUUAUUUUGCCUUGAUCAGUCGUACUUCGCACAUAAACCAUCGCUCCGCUGAAGUGAAAGUGCGAUGUUUUUGGUUUGUUUUUGUCAACAUGCAUGGCUGUGUGCAUUCACGGCUGAUCGACCAUGCACUGGAUUUCGGUCUGAGAACAUUUUUAGUUCCUGGACGUAUAGUUAGUCCACGUUAUUCGGUGAAAAUGUGCUGUACCGACUUGGAUCUAUAGCAAACUGCAAACCUAAUCGCAAUCAUAACUAUUGUCAAUGAUAUAUAUUGCUUGAAAUACACCAGCAAUCAAUAAACAAAAUUAAUAUUA